This 57-nucleotide transfer RNA is filed under the name Ogataea angusta. RNAcentral's name for it is "partial transfer RNA". It matches the Rfam family "tRNA", at positions 7 to 60 of the family's 71-position model. Rfam says of the family: Transfer RNA (tRNA) molecules are approximately 80 nucleotides in length. Their secondary structure includes four short double-helical elements and three loops (D, anti-codon, and T loops). Further hydrogen bonds mediate the characteristic L-shaped molecular structure. tRNAs have two regions of fundamental functional importance: the anti-codon, which is responsible for specific mRNA codon recognition, and the 3' end, to which the tRNAs corresponding amino acid is attached (by aminoacyl-tRNA synthetases). tRNAs cope with the degeneracy of the genetic code in two manners: having more than one tRNA (with a specific anti-codon) for a particular amino acid; and 'wobble' base-pairing, i.e. permitting non-standard base-pairing at the 3rd anti-codon position. The record is from RNAcentral. Lineage: Eukaryota; Fungi; Ascomycota; Pichiomycetes; Pichiales; Pichiaceae.
CCGUGGCGCAGUGGAAGCGCGCAGGGCUCAUAACCCUGAUGUCGUUGGAUCGAAACC